Molecule: ribosomal RNA, 261 nt
Filed under: uncultured prokaryote
Description: partial 16S ribosomal RNA
Rfam family: Bacterial small subunit ribosomal RNA
Source: RNAcentral
UACGUAGGUGGCGAGCGUUAUCCGGAAUUAUUGGGCGUAAAGAGCGCGCAGGUGGUUGAUUAAGUCUGAUGUGAAAGCCCACGGCUUAACCGUGGAGGGUCAUUGGAAACUGGUCGACUUGAGUGCAGAAGAGGGAAGUGGAAUUCCAUGUGUAGCGGUGAAAUGCGUAGAUAUAUGGAGGAACACCAGUGGCGAAGGCGACUUUCUGGUCUAUUAUUGACGCUGAGGCUCGAAAGCAUGGGUAGCAAACAGGAUUAGAUA